GUGAAAUUGUUGAAAGGGAAACGCUUGAAGUCAGUCAUGUCCUUUAGAAAUCAACCUGACUUUGGUUGGGCGCACUUUCUUCUGGACAGGUCAGCAUCAGUUUUGACCAUUGGAAAAGGAGUCUGGAAAGGUAGCACCUCUUGAGGUGUGUUAUAGUCUGAACUCAUAUACAGUGGUUGGGACUGAGGAACUCAGCGUGAUCAGGUCUUUUGGCUUGGUUUGGAGGUUUCGGCCUCACACAACGCGCUUUGGAUGCUGGCGUAAUGGCUUUAAUCGACCCGUCUUGAAACACGGACCAAGGAGUCUAACAUACAUGCAAGUGUUUGGGUGAAAAACCCAUGCGCGAAAUGAAAGUGAAAGUUAAGAACCCUCAAGGGUGCAUUGACGCCUGGCCCAGAACAAUUUGUGACGGAGCUACGGUAGAGCAUGCAUGUUGGGACCCGAAAGAUGGUGAACUAUGCCUGAAUAGGGUGAAGCCAGAGGAAACUCUGGUGGAAGCUCGCAGCGAUUCUGACGUGCAAAUCGAUCGUCAAAUUUGGGUAUAGGGGCGAAAGACUAAUCGAACCAUCUAGUAGCUGGUUCCCGCCGAAGUUUCCCUCAGGAUAGCAGACGCUCAUUUAUUCAGA
Molecule: ribosomal RNA, 626 nt
Filed under: uncultured Basidiomycota
Lineage: Eukaryota; Fungi; Basidiomycota
Description: LSU rRNA
Rfam family: Eukaryotic large subunit ribosomal RNA
Source: RNAcentral